Molecule: ribosomal RNA, 253 nt
Filed under: uncultured bacterium
Lineage: Bacteria
Description: partial 16S ribosomal RNA
Rfam family: Bacterial small subunit ribosomal RNA
Source: RNAcentral
UACGGAGGAUGCAAGCGUUAUCCGGAAUGAUUGGGCGUAAAGCGUCCGCAGGUGGCUAUGUAAGUCUGCUGUUAAAGAGUGAGGCUCAACCUCAUAAGAGCAGUGGAAACUACAUAGCUAGAGUGCGUUCGGGGCAGAGGGAAUUCCUGGUGUAGCGGUGAAAUGCGUAGAUAUCAGGAAGAACACCGGUGGCGAAAGCGGUUCUCUGGGACGGUACUGACGCUGAGACGCGAAAGCGUGGGGAGCGAACAGG